UGGGGAAUUUUGGACAAUGGGCGCAAGCCUGAUCCAGCCAUGCCGCGUGCGGGAAGAAGGCCUUCGGGUUGUAAACCGCUUUUGUCAGGGAAGAAACGGUCUGACCUAAUACGUUGGACUAAUGACGGUACCUGAAGAAUAAGCACCGGCUAACUACGUGCCAGCAGCCGCGGUAAUACGUAGGGUGCAAGCGUUAAUCGGAAUUACUGGGCGUAAAGCGUGCGCAGGCGGCUUUGCAAGACAGAUGUGAAAUCCCCGGGCUCAACCUGGGAACUGCAUUUGUGACUGCAAGGCUGGAGUACGGUAGAGGGGGAUGGAAUUCCGCGUGUAGCAGUGAAAUGCGUAGAUAUGCGGAGGAACACCGAUGGCGAAGGCAAUCCCCUGGACCUGUACUGACGCUCAUGCACGAAAGCGUGGGGAGCAAACA
Molecule: ribosomal RNA, 427 nt
Filed under: uncultured Rhizobacter sp.
Lineage: Bacteria; Pseudomonadati; Pseudomonadota; Betaproteobacteria; Burkholderiales; Sphaerotilaceae
Description: bacterial SSU rRNA
Rfam family: Bacterial small subunit ribosomal RNA
Source: RNAcentral